AGGUUGCUGACAAAGUGCCCGCAGCGGUGAAAACAGGCAGAUCGUAAAGACGCCGUCAAUACAUCCAUGUAGGCUCGAGCCGCGUCAUCCCUGGCACGGACGCUUU
This 106-nucleotide non-coding RNA is filed under the name Yersinia enterocolitica. RNAcentral describes it as "Yersinia sRNA 224". It matches the Rfam family "Yersinia sRNA 224". The record is from RNAcentral. Lineage: Bacteria; Pseudomonadati; Pseudomonadota; Gammaproteobacteria; Enterobacterales; Yersiniaceae.